Molecule: small nuclear RNA, 102 nt
Organism: Phodopus roborovskii (desert hamster)
Lineage: Eukaryota; Metazoa; Chordata; Mammalia; Rodentia; Cricetidae
Source: RefSeq, a predicted model, not a curated record
ACUCUUCAGCAGUGCACAUAUUAAAAUAGAAAAAACACAGGAGAGAUCACCAUGGCCCCUGCACAAGGGUGAUGGGAAAGCCGCGAAGCAUCCCAUAUUUUA